This is a long non-coding RNA of Gallus gallus (chicken), 2845 nucleotides long. RefSeq lists it as uncharacterized. The record is from RefSeq and is a predicted model, not a curated record. The transcript is spliced from 3 exons. Lineage: Eukaryota; Metazoa; Chordata; Aves; Galliformes; Phasianidae.
GUGCCUUACCACUCUCACUGUAAAAGCCUUUUUCCUUCUAUCCAACCUAAAUCUCCUCUCUUUGAGCUUGAAGCCUCACUCUUACUGUUUUCACAGUCUGGUUUUCAUUGGGAUGUUGCUUGUAUUCCCACAAGGCUAAACAUUUUCAGCUAUUGAUGGCAGUUAAUAGCUUGUGGAGGGAUGUGUGAGAAGAGUUGUUUGCAGGGGCAAAAAAAAAAAGAAAUAUAAAUAAAAGCUGAGGUUUUUAGACUGAAACAGCUGAGAGAAAGGCAUUGGAGUGUAGAUGUCAUAUAUAUGGAUGUGAAACAUUCCUAAAAAUGUGUUGCAUCUCAAAGAUGGUCAAAAUAUGGACUUCAGUUCUGCUACAUUUGAGGCUACUUGUUGGGUUCUGGUGCACACCAUUAGUUCGGAGAGGCGGAUGUUUUGUGUUGGAAUAAGCUGUCAGCAAUUUGUGUCAGCCCUGCUGGGGCUGCCUGCAUUUAGGUAGUCGUAUGGGGACAAAGGAAAUCGAGAACUUUUUCUAGGUUACAGCAGUUUUCAAAUCCACCCAAAUACUCUCUCAUGCGGGCUUCUCACCUGCAGCUUUAAGACGUCCAUCAGUCUCAUGGGAUCUCUGGUAAACACCGAGUAGAUUCCCUGGAGUGCUUCAUCAAGAUCAAGUGCAGCAAAAGACUCAGUGCUGUCUCAUUCUCUGCCCAGCCUUGGGCACAGAUUUGAGCAACAUGAGAGCUGCUGUGACCCAUGUCAUCUGGCAGUGGUCCCCAAGAGCUUGUUUACACAGGAUAUUUUUUCACGAGAAUGUAAUUACACCGCUGAAACUACAUGAGCGUGAAAACUUUGCACGUGUAGCAGAGUUAAGCCAGGACUUCUGCGUUAGCCAGGGCUCGAUUCUGCAAGGUGCAGAGCGCAGGUGUGAGGCACUGACUGUCCCUUGUUCCCUGCCAUCAGCGGCCCAGGAGAACAGUCAUUGUCCUUCAGGAAUGCUUGACAUCAUUCGGAAAUGCUGAGCACCUUCCAGGACUGGAACUACUGGGAUGAACAGGGCAGAAACAGGCUCAUGCUUUGCAUUUGGCCCAGGCUAUGCUUUUAAAGGACAUGAGGAAGUUCUUUAUUCUGGACUACGAGCCUGCUCUUGCUUUGACUGAAGCAAGUGGAUUUUGUUUCUGUACUUUGAUGUAGAGAGUAGAGAUUGAUUUUCAUCAGCUUGUGGCUGUUGAGUAGCAAGUCAGGCAGUCUGGCUGCUCCACAGCAUCACAGGCAGGCUGAGCCACAAACACAGCAUCAUCAUUUUUUUUCACACCUUCCUCUGCUCACCUUCAUCAAACAGCUCCUCUUCAUUAAAGCAGUUCCUCCGCUUCUCUGCUCGCUUUACAUGUUAUGACACUGCUGUGAAGCACAGAAUUCACUGAAGCCUUAGAGAGAAAUAGAUAAAUGAGACAUCUUGAGCCAUCACUACAGAGAGAGAAAAGGAGGACAUGGUGCUGAUUUCAGCAAACACUCAUGUUUCCACAACACUUACUCACUGUUAGGCUACUCCACAAACCUUUUAUGUAAAGAAAAUUUGCAAGAAUAGCAACGAAGAUGACAUAAUGAAUGAAGUGAGCAGUUAUUUUUGGCUGCCCCCAAUUUGGGUGACAUUGAGUUUGGCCACAGCACCUGCCAUGAUGGCUUGAUAAGGUCUGAAAUAGUGCCUGAAUAAUAAAUGAGGCUCACAUCUGGUAAAAUUCAGUGUUUGAGGUUUUUUUUUUUAAUGUUCUUUUAUCAUGUUCCUGUUGCUUGACUUUAUCUGAAGGGAUUAUGUUUAGAGAGCAUACAUAGACAAAUAGAUAUGCUAAUAAAAAAUGCUAUAGUUGAUAAGGUACAGGCAACACGGAGCAUUCAGUGCAGGCUACAACCAGCUCCAGACUAAAAAUGGUUACUAACGUAACUGAAAUUUGUACUUUGGUCAUUAAAAAACACAGAUAACAAAUGAGUAAAUGAUCCUUUUGACUGGUUUACUUUCAGGAGGCUAGAUUAUAUUUGUCAGUGUAGAUCAAGAGAAUGGUGAAAGAAGGGAAAUAAAAGGAGUUGCGCUUUCUAUUCUAGUAACUAGAAUGAGGGGUCGAGGGGGAAAUGCAGGUUUCAAUCUGAUAAAUAAGUGCAUGAUAUAUGCCGGGCUUAUGGCAGUGUUGUUGCAGGCCAGGAGAGCUCGGGAGGGACGUGUAUUUCUAAGCCCUGUGAGACUGGCAGUUCUCACUCUUAAUCCAGUUCCCAUCUUCUCUGCUAGUGGAGAGAGUACCCACGUUCAGAGGCUUUGACAGGACUCAGCAUCCAACAGCAUCUGAUGGAUCACCUAUUACAGUCUGAAGACUUUAAAUCUGUCCAAGAGUGGUUUCCAAAGCUCAGAAUGAACGAUUUUGUAAUCAGCAACCUGACUUCCAGAGCUGCUUGAUAGUACAAAAUCUCAUUAAAGAUAAAAGACUAAAAGAAAAAAUCCUGAAACACCUGGUAUCACCAACUCCCAGCAAGAAGCAGCAUUACUGAACACUGUGGCAGAAGCCUGGAUUCUAGAAAGAUCAGGGAAAAAGAAGAAACUGCAGUAGAAACAUUUGGCUUGUCACAAUUGUUAUAUGGCACCGUAGCUGCAACUUCGUAAUGUGCAAUAAAACUGACAUGACGAGUUUUCUUUGAAAAGCACUUUGGUUCUGGAAUAAAAUCACAUGCAUCAAAAAUAUGGCAUAGCCUUCUGUAUUGCAUAAUGUAUUGCAUAAGAGAAAAUAGAGAAUAGCUGUUUCACAUUAAUGCUUUGUCACAUGGGCAGGUGAGGCAUGCCAAUGGUGAAUGAAAUUUCGCCGUGGAAAGCAAA